RNAcentral lists this ribosomal RNA (254 nucleotides) under uncultured bacterium. RNAcentral describes it as "partial 16S ribosomal RNA". It matches the Rfam family "Bacterial small subunit ribosomal RNA", at positions 524 to 776 of the family's 1533-position model. The record is from RNAcentral.
CACGUAGGGCGCAAGCGUUGUCCGGAAUUAUUGGGCGUAAAGAGCUCGUAGGUGGUUUGUUACGUCCGCUGUGAAAUCCUAGGGCUUAACCCUGGGCUUGCAGUGGAUACGGGCAGACUAGAGGUAGGUAGGGGAGAAUGGAAUUCCUGGUGUAGCGGUGAAAUGCGCAGAUAUCAGGAGGAACACCGGUGGCGAAGGCGGUUCUCUGGGCCGUAACUGACGCUGGAGGAGCGAAAGCGUGGGGAGCGAACAGG